Molecule: ribosomal RNA, 253 nt
Filed under: uncultured bacterium
Lineage: Bacteria
Description: partial 16S ribosomal RNA
Rfam family: Bacterial small subunit ribosomal RNA
Source: RNAcentral
UACGUAGGUGGCAAGCGUUGUCCGGAUUUACUGGGCGUAAAGGGCGUGCAGGCGGUUUGUUAAGUCUAGGGUGAAAGCUCCCGGCUCAACUGGGAGAGGUCCUUGGAUACUGGCAGACUUGAGGAGGGUAGAGGAGAGUGGAAUUCCCGGUGUAGUGGUGAUAUGCGUAGAUAUCGGGAGGAACACCAGUGGCGAAGGCGGCUCUCUGGGCCCUACCUGACGCUGAGACGCGAAAGCUAGGGGAGCGAACAGG